RNAcentral lists this ribosomal RNA (250 nucleotides) under uncultured bacterium. RNAcentral's name for it is "partial 16S ribosomal RNA". It matches the Rfam family "Bacterial small subunit ribosomal RNA", at positions 524 to 773 of the family's 1533-position model. The record is from RNAcentral.
UACGAACUGUGCGAACGUUAUUCGGAAUCACUGGGCUUAAAGGGUGCGUAGGCGGCGACUCAAGUCAGGUGUGAAAUCCCCCGGCUCAACCGGGGAACAGCGCUUGAAACUGGGUGGCUCGAGUGAGGCAGGGGUAUGUGGAACUUCCGGUGGAGCGGUGAAAUGUGUAGAUAUCGGAAGGAACGCCGGCGGCGAAAGCGGCAUACUGGGCCUUGUCUGACGCUGAGGCACGAAAGCUAGGGGAGUGAAC